AAGAAGAAGAAGAAAGAGAAAAGCAAUUUCAAGAAAGAAGAACCCGUAAUUUAGGGCUUGCCAUGCACCGAGCCAUCAUUGCAGUACCCCUUAGUAGACUUGAAACAUGCCCAAUUGAAAUCAAGCUCUGAUACCACUUGUUAUAAAACAGGAUUCUCAAUUCCAGAGAAAAGCAGAAAUUAGAGGGAGAUAGAGAAAGAAAGGGGAAGGAAAAUAGGAGAAGAAGGUAGACAUAGAGAAAUAGAACUUAGAGAGAAG
Molecule: unclassified non-coding RNA, 258 nt
Filed under: Hevea brasiliensis (rubber tree)
Lineage: Eukaryota; Viridiplantae; Streptophyta; Magnoliopsida; Malpighiales; Euphorbiaceae
Source: RNAcentral